Molecule: long non-coding RNA, 965 nt
Organism: Schistocerca gregaria
Lineage: Eukaryota; Metazoa; Arthropoda; Insecta; Orthoptera; Acrididae
Exons: 3
Source: RefSeq, a predicted model, not a curated record
UCCGGCCGCAGCCCGCCGACCCCAGCGGCCUCCACCGCCACCGCAGCCGCCGCCGCCUCCGCCAUCUUCGCCCGCGGCAGCGUGACGCUGGGCGCCGCGGCGGCCGCUGCGGGCGUCGCCGCCGUCUGCCCGCUCUCACCGCCACAGAGGGCGAGAGCCGCCACACAGGGACCCGACGCAGUGUAGGUGAAGCCGCCAGCCAGCCAGCUGCUGCUGUUGCUGCUGCCGCCCGUGGCUGCCACACCGCUCGCUGCCCACAGAUCACACCAGAUCACGCAGGGGGCCGGCUGGUGUCAGCGGUGUGUCACCAGCGGGAUGCAUCCUUCGGGCUCUAACUGAAAUGAAGACUCCAGAGUUCUUCCGUGACGUGUACGACAUUUCAAGUGCAGUUACAAAAAAUUACAUUAUCAAGACAAAAUCCUUCAACACUGAGGAUGGACCCAAGGAAAUACAAGAACUAUUUUCUACCUACGCAGAUUAGCUGUGCCUAUCGUAGCGGAGUAUAUUCUACAUAUCUGGCUUAGGAUGUACUAAUCUCGUAAGUCAGAGGCAUUACAUUCGGAACCUGCAGAAGAUCAAUAUAUUGUUGAAUUUUUCUCCGUCGACAGUGGACAUUUGUUGAUGGUUGCAUCAUUAGGGAAUGCUUAUUUUUAUGCAGUUUGGUAAUCCACAGAGACAUCAAGAUACACAAUCGUUGUUGAAUCCAUUGGCCUACAAAUGUGCUGAUGAAAAUGAGAAGUGUGAAAGAAACGAAGCAUUCCGUAAAAGUUCAAACACUGGAACCUUAACAAGCAGGGACACUUAAAUUUUCCAAACUUGCUACAAGAGACGCUGUUUCUACUUUUCAGCUCUUUUACUUUGUAUCUGACAUAAAAACGCUGAUUUUAGAGUAUCUGAUGCUAGUGAAAAGCACUGGUCUGUUGUUUGUAAGAUAUCAGUGUAUUUUCAAUAAAAUACAGUUUUUA